This 431-nucleotide ribosomal RNA is filed under the name uncultured bacterium. RNAcentral's name for it is "bacterial SSU rRNA". It matches the Rfam family "Bacterial small subunit ribosomal RNA", at positions 29 to 507 of the family's 1533-position model. The record is from RNAcentral.
AACGAACGCUGGCGGCAGGCCUAACACAUGCAAGUCGAACGCUCUCUUCGGAGGGAGUGGCAGACGGGUGAGUAACGCGUGGGAAUCUACCCAGCUCUACGGAAUAACGCAUGGAAACGUGUGCUAAUACCGUAUACGCCCCAUGGGGAAGAUUUAUCGGAGUUGGAUGAGCCCGCGUCUGAUUAGCUAGUUGGUGAGGUAAUGGCUCACCAAGGCGACGAUCAGUAGCUGGUCUGAGAGGAUGACCAGCCACACUGGGACUGAGACACGGCCCAGACUCCUACGGGAGGCAGCAGUGGGGAAUAUUGGACAAUGGGCGCAAGCCUGAUCCAGCCAUGCCGCGUGAGUGAUGACGGCCUUAGGGUUGUAAAGCUCUUUCACCGGUGAAGAUAAUGACGGUAACCGGAGAAGAAGCCCCGGCUAACUUCGUG